AGGUUGGUAUAAGAAUAACAAAUAGGUAGUUGAGAAGCCACGAUUCGCGAGCCUAGUUCAAAAAUAAAAUAAUCGGCACAUAGCUUACAUGCAAAACUCGAUCCAUGCGCAAACACACCCCAUCACUUUCAUCCAGCGUUCUUUUUACGUGACGCGUACUGUAGUAUUUAUAUAUAAA
Colias croceus (clouded yellow) is the source of this 178-nucleotide long non-coding RNA. RefSeq lists it as uncharacterized. The record is from RefSeq and is a predicted model, not a curated record. The transcript has 3 exons. NCBI's taxonomy places the organism in Eukaryota, Metazoa, Arthropoda, Insecta, Lepidoptera, Pieridae.